Long non-coding RNA from Gallus gallus (chicken), 1976 nucleotides. Lineage: Eukaryota; Metazoa; Chordata; Aves; Galliformes; Phasianidae. The record is from Ensembl.
AUUCUGCAGUGGUGAAUUAUAGGCAUGAGGCUGCAGCUCUUCACUUUCUUACUCAUAACUAAAUCAGAAUCCUUUUAAGUUUUAAUUAAUCUGCUUAGCUUUCAUUGUGAGGGAGUUGGGGAGUGGGUACAUAAGGCAGAUUAACCCUUAAAUUCACAAGUACUUCCACGGUGUCUCCUCUUGGGUUAUUUUUUUCUUAAGCACCUGAGGGAGUAAGCAUUAUCAGGCUGACGUGGGGGCCUAUUAGACAUUGAUAUAUAUAUAUAUAUUAAUUUGACAGUGUCUGACUAGUCCUCUCUAUUUCAUUAUCAAAAACCAAUUAAUUUUCUGUAAAAGCAUCAAAUUAAUUACAAAAUAAUAUGGAAAUAUAAAGAAUGGAGGAAUUUCCCUCUCCUCUCCUCCUACCCUUGCCUCAUUAUGGGAAACAUGUUGGGCCCCUUGGCAGCAAAGCCCUAUUAAAGAACUACAGACCGUCUAGCUCCUCAUUUAAAAUUCUGUUGGCGGUGUCAGGAGGCCUAUGUGAUAAGAGUAAGUCCAUUUCCACCCACAGGGAUAAUUUCCCUAUUCCCUGGCAUAGAAAAAUACAGUCACAAAAUCAUUAGAAAUCAGGCUGGAAGACACUUCAGGAGAAUGUCCAUGACAUCUACCUGUUCACCUAAGUGUUCAGGCAUGGACACACUACAUCCUUUCCAGAUUAUCUUUGAUAACAUAGAAGAGACAAAACCCUGAUAGAGGAAGACAGUGCAGAGGAAUUUGAACACAAUGUCUAUAUCUCCAUCACCAUCUUUACCUGCAUAGAAACUAUAGGAGGUGAAGCUGAACUGGACUGUAUGAGGUCCUCUACUUCUUAAUCAAAGCAAGAUCAACCAUAUCUGAGUCCUUUCUGCAGCUGCCUAACCUACCCUGUUCUCAAAAACUUCCAGGGAUGGAUAUUCCAACACAUAUUUUUCAAGAAAACUCCUCUACCACUUUGCUUUCCUUCCCCUUUCUCCUAAUAUUUAGAUGUUAGGAAUAUGAUACAUGGAUACUUUCGAGAAAAAUAAGAAACAAGGCAGAAUCAGAAACAUGUUUUUUCUGUGUGUGUUAAUCAGGUUUACUUUAUGCAAUGCUUGUUCUGAAAACACAUAGAUCAUGGCUACUUUUACACACAGAAUGGUCAGCACUGAAGAAGCAAAACCGAAUUCUCACAUAUGGACCAAAGAUGGCAUUUUUAAUAUAAAAACAGCCCAGCUUUUAACCUUCAUAUAUACUGAAUUAUUUCUGGGAUAGAAACAAGUGCAAAAAAGUUAUGGGGGGAAAGAAAAUAGAGGAGUAUUCUUUUUCUUGCCUUGCAGGACUGAAUGAUGCUUGAUUGUAAAGAUUUUGGCAUGUUUAGGAGUGUUUCUGGAGACAAUUUUGCAUUUCUCUUAAAUGAAGGGAUCUCUGACAGCCAUUCUUUUUUUCCUUUCAGAGAUCAUGUGAUUAACAAAUACAGAAAUUUUCUGUAUUUCCAUUUUUUGGCAUAAUCUGUAUGGAGCUGUGAUCUGGGUGGAGCACAGACAUGGGCAGUGGUUUAACUAGCUGUCUGAUUGGUCUUCUGUCACAGUAUCAGAAGCUUCUGAAGCAUUGUUUUGGCUCUGGCGGACUCAUACUUCUCAUCUUCUCUCUUGCCCUCACCUAAAUGAAAUAAAUCAGCAUCUUAUUGCUUUUCUCUAGAGCUGAAUGCUCUGAUUCUUGCAGAAGCAGCAUUAAUUUUAACAUCAGUAGUACUUUGCCAAAGAAUAAUGAAUAUACCUGGUUCUAGCUCCCAAACUCCCAUAAGAGAAAUCAGAUACAAGGAUGAAAUCAAAGGGUCUCCCAGGCUUUUUCUCCAUCCAUUGAUCUUCUUUGCAUUUUCAAGGAAGCAAAUUUCAGUAGCUUAAAUAAAGGGCAUCUUGACAACCAUUUAUUUUUGCUUUCCCUUCAGAGCUUUCACAGUUAAUAAACACUUAACAUUU